UAGGACCUCCAUCAGCACCUAGGAUCUCCAUCAGCACGUAGGAUCUCCAUCAGCAGCUAGGAUCUCCCUCAGCACCUAGGACCUCCAUCAGCAGCUAGGACCUCCAUCAGCACCUAGGACCUCCAUCGGCAGCUAGGACCUCCAUCGGCAGCUAGGACCUCCAUCGGCAGCUAGGACCUCCAUCGGCAGCUAGGACCUCCAUCGGCAGCUAAGACCUCCAUCAGCAAAGGCUGGGUCUAGACCCCCAUGGGCUCCAGGUUCCACCCAACUCCCAGCCAUCUGCCCAGACCGACCCACACCCACCUCCUGCAGAUGCCCUGGGCAUUACUGAACCCCUAUUUCCUGAAGCCAGCCAGCGAGUGGGAGCACCGGCCAGCAUGGUCCUCCCUGGCCCCAGGGAUCUCCCAGCCCUGGGACAUGGGACUCCUGGGCAGACUGCCUUCCCCCAGCUUGUGCAGGCCGGCACCAGGCACAGAAGCCCAGCACAGGGCCUCUUAUCAGCCCCUCCAUCUCUUCCCCAGAACAGGCCCAGCCUGCUUGCCCAGCCUGUCACCAUGCCUGGCAGGGAUGGCAUCACCCAGCCGGCUGUAUGCAACUGCUGAAACCCCGUGGGCCCUGCUUCCAGUGCCGCACCCUCCUCACCCAGGAUGGCUGCAGGAUUUACCAGGUCCUCCGCACAGUGAAAAUGUGAACUCCUUGCCCCAAGAUGAUGAAGAAUUUCAAGACGGCAAUGGUAGAUUGGUAAAUUAACCUCAGGUGCCAUGUGACAGCACAGGUUGGGUGCUGUGAGCCAUGCAUGAAGCUCCUGGUGGGUACAGCUCUGCCUCAUGGGUCACCCCUCUCUACCGUGACCACGAGGACUGGGCUGGGUAUGCAGUGCCCUGCUGUGACUCCUGACACACAGACCCCUAGCCAUCCCCUCCACCCCCUCCCUGACCUCCUCUCCCAGGGAUGCAACUGGGGGAGCACACCCAUCCCCAGAAGAACCCCAAAUCUCUGGCUGGCUGUCUCUUACCCAACCCCCAUCCCCAGCUCCGCUGAGGGGCAAGCGUGCUGCUGGGCUGCUCCUGAGGAGAAACCCACGGCGCCACCCUCAGGCCCCCGGUGGCUCCUCAACCUGGGCCCCAUCUCUGCCCCCCAUCUUGGCUCCUCAGGCAUAUUUAAACUUUGCCCCUCCCACCCCCGUGCCUGGCGGAUCCCCUGGCACUGAGGCCCAGCCAGUGGCUCCAGCCAACGCACUUGGCUCCCGCAGCAAGUUAAAUCUAACCCAGCCCAGCUGUCUCUCCUCCGGCUCCCACCUGCCCCUCCCGUUCCCUGCAGGGAUGUGCCCACACCCUGCCCACCCUACAUGGGCCCUCAGGAAGGGUGCAGAGGUCCCCCAGGGUCCCCCACUUUCCCACACUAAGAAAGCCCUUUGCCUAGCAGCCUCUGGGGUGGGUGCCCUGCUUCUGGAGGUACCCCGGCGCCCAGGGUGGGGCCAGCAGAGUGCAGCAGGUUUUCAACAGGUAUUUCAAGAAGGAGCAGGAACCCACUUCCCAUCAGUCAGGGUGCAGCCAGGAAGAGGGAAACUCCAGGGCCAACGCUGAAGUGGCCGCUGCAGCACCACGCUGGGGCACGGAGUUGGAGUACAGCCCUUGUGCCACAGGCGUGCCAGGGAAUGUGUGCCAGGCGCUCUGUCUUGCAUCUGGGGCUGUCGGUUCUUCUGAGGCAGGGCACUCAUAGGUCACUUCUGGAGAUGUCCACAUUUCUGGGUCUGGGACGAUCUAGGCCUGGCUUUGGGGCCAUCUGUAAUCUGCUCCCCGUAGCCCCAUGUUUUGUUUAGGCUGGAAGUGCACUCAGCUAAAAUGCCGUUAUCCUACCAAAAGUGGCAUAGGAUGGAGUUCUGGCCAGUGAGAUGUGAGCAGAAGUGCUGGGUGUGUCUUCAGGGACAGAUCCUCAAAGGGAGCUGACUCAUCUAGGGGGCAGCACUUUUGCUCUUCGUCUUUUCCUUCCUCCUUUCUGGUCAGGUAUGCUUGUGAUGGCUGGAGCAUCAGCAGCUGUUUUGCACAAUGAGGUGACACUGAGGCUGGAAGCCAGCACUAGGAGAGUGAUACAGUAAGCAGAGAAGCCAGGGCUGUCACGUCGCAGAGGAGACUGGAGAGCCGCGGCGGGGAGGGGUCAGCUGCGGCCACGUGAGGGCCAGGCCCCUCUCUGACUGCCCAGGCUGCAUCCACACAGAAGAUUCCAUGGCUUUCCAUAAAAGAGAGUGGGAGAAUGUCCUCUCUAAAGGCCUGGGGAGAGGAGACAGCCUCGGCCGGGGCUCACCAGCCAGCAGCUGCCAGCCAGGCCAGCAAUGCCAAGGCACCCGGCGUUCCUGGAAGCCAAGCCCUGUUUGAUCUAAUGGGGCAGCUGUGGGUGCAGACCCAGAUAAAGAGAUAAACCCAGACCCAGAAACCUGGGGGAGGAGGUGGGAGCAACAACCUCUCUUCCGCCUCCUUCACCGUGAGAGGAAAGGAAGCGGGAUGACAUAGUUGUGGCUGGGACUGCUGGACCCCGCACGCCAGCCCUGGGAGGUAUGUGGGUCAUGAAAUCCACCCACUGGUGACCUGCCCCAUGGUGAGGGAGGGAGAGAGCUUCUCCCCUCCUUGGCUAAGAGGACAGAGGGAGGAUCCUAGAAAUUCUGUCAGGAAGCAGAAAUUUGGUCUGAGAGCAGUGAAGGUGGGAGCAGACACCCCCCAAAUCACCUGCAGGAUGAGCAUUUCUCAGGCUCUAGAGAGCAUGUGUGGCACACAGCCGCCAGCCCACCUGGUGCGGGGGUCCAGCAGCCACAGCCAUGGGAACUCCUGGGCCUGUUGUUCGUGUGCGGAUCCUGGUCCGGGAGCCUGGAUGCGGCUCUGCCUUGCCGACAAGCUCCUGGGCCAGGCCUGGUCCACCAGACCUCCCUAUGCUUGGAGUGCCUGCUUGUUGUGCCUGGAGCUGUGCUGGGCCCUUCCUCAUUGCAGGGCUGGGGGAGUCACUUAACCUGUCUGGGGCUCAGUCUUCUCAUCUGUAAAGUGGGAAUGAUGGCACCUGGUACCCACUUGAUUGGCUGUUGCAAACAUGAAACCAGAUGGGCCUGUAAAUCACAGGGCACUCGGCCGCCAUCACCAUCAUCAUCAUCAACAUCAUCAUCCUCAUCAUCGUCUUCAUCAUCAUGGCCCCAGCUCAUCCAUCUUUGUUGCCUUCUCCACCCCCAUCUUCCAUCCUUGGAGAACUGUGCCUCUUGAAUUGGCCUUGUGACCUAGUAAAGAUCAUGACAAAGACGCCU
Molecule: small RNA, 3286 nt
Filed under: Pan troglodytes (chimpanzee)
Lineage: Eukaryota; Metazoa; Chordata; Mammalia; Primates; Hominidae
Description: processed transcript
Source: RNAcentral